RNAcentral lists this transfer RNA (93 nucleotides) under Rhodocyclaceae bacterium. RNAcentral describes it as "tRNA-Ser". It matches the Rfam family "tRNA". From Rfam's summary of the family: Transfer RNA (tRNA) molecules are approximately 80 nucleotides in length. Their secondary structure includes four short double-helical elements and three loops (D, anti-codon, and T loops). Further hydrogen bonds mediate the characteristic L-shaped molecular structure. tRNAs have two regions of fundamental functional importance: the anti-codon, which is responsible for specific mRNA codon recognition, and the 3' end, to which the tRNAs corresponding amino acid is attached (by aminoacyl-tRNA synthetases). tRNAs cope with the degeneracy of the genetic code in two manners: having more than one tRNA (with a specific anti-codon) for a particular amino acid; and 'wobble' base-pairing, i.e. permitting non-standard base-pairing at the 3rd anti-codon position. Lineage: Bacteria; Pseudomonadati; Pseudomonadota; Betaproteobacteria; Rhodocyclales; Rhodocyclaceae. The record is from RNAcentral.
GGAGACGUGGCCGAGAGGUCGAAGGCACUCCCCUGCUAAGGGAGCAUCCGGUCAAAAACUGGAUCGUGGGUUCGAAUCCCACCGUCUCCGCCA